RNAcentral lists this unclassified non-coding RNA (518 nucleotides) under uncultured Glomeromycotina. RNAcentral describes it as "SSU rRNA". It matches the Rfam family "Eukaryotic small subunit ribosomal RNA", at positions 571 to 1092 of the family's 1831-position model. The record is from RNAcentral. Lineage: Eukaryota; Fungi; Glomeromycota.
CAGCCGCGUAAUUCCAGCUCCAAUAGCGUAUAUUAAAGUUGUUGCAGUUAAAAAGCUCGUAGUUGAAUUUCGGGAUUAAUUUAUUGGUCGUGCUAUUGUACGUACUGGUAUUAUUGAUUCCUACCUUCUGACGAACCAUGAUGUCAUUAAUUUGGUGUCUUGGGGAAUCAGGACUGUUACUUUGAAAAAAUUAGAGUGUUUAAAGCAGGCUCACGCUUGAAUACAUUAGCAUGGAAUAACGAAAUAGGACGUUUGAUUCUAUUUUGUUGGUUUCUAGGAUCGACGUAAUGAUUAAUAGGGAUAGUUGGGGGCAUUAGUAUUCAAUUGUCAGAGGUGAAAUUCUUGGAUUUAUUGAAGACUAACUACUGCGAAAGCAUUUGCCAAGGAUGUUUUCAUUAAUCAAGAACGAAAGUUAGGGGAUCGAAGACGAUCAGAUACCGUCGUAGUCUUAACCAUAAACUAUGCCGACUAGGGAUCGGAUGAUGUUAAUUUUUUAAUGACUCAUUCGGCGCCUUACG